RNAcentral lists this ribosomal RNA (465 nucleotides) under uncultured bacterium. RNAcentral describes it as "partial 16S ribosomal RNA". It matches the Rfam family "Bacterial small subunit ribosomal RNA", at positions 338 to 795 of the family's 1533-position model. The record is from RNAcentral.
CCUACGCGCGGCAGCAGUAGGGAAUCUUCCACAAUGGGCGAAAGCCUGAUGGAGCAACGCCGCGUGGGUGAAGAAGGUCUUCGGAUCGUAAAACCCUGUUGUUAGAGAAGAAAGUGCGUGGGAGUAACUGUUCACGUUUCGACGGUAUCUAACCAGACAGCCACGGCUAACUAGGUGCCAGCAGCCGCGGUAAUACGUAGGUGGCAAGCGUUAUACGGAUUUAUUGGGCGGAAAGGGAAAGCAGGCGGUUUUUUAAGGCGUAUGGGAAAGCCCUCGGGCUAACCGGAGUAAUGCAUUGGAAACUGGGAAACUUGAGGUCAGAAGAGGAGAGUGGAACUCCAUGUGUAGCGGUGAAAUGCGUAGAUAUAUGGAAGAACACCAGGGGCGAAAGCGGCUCUCUGGUCUGUAACUGACGCUGAGGUUCGAAAGCGUGGGGAGCAAACAGGAUUAGAUACCCUAGUAGUC